UGCUAUGCCUGAAAUAAAAGAACACCAUAAGAUGUCAACCAACAGAAUCUGUCUCUUCUGUAGCGGUGAACACAUGCUGGAUGUCUGUAAUAAACUUACCAGAAAAAGUCACAGAGAAAAAAUGAACUUUCUGAUGAUGAGAGGAAUCUGCUUUGGCUGCUUGCAUACAGGACACCUCAGCAGGGACUGCAAAAAGAGAAGUAUCUGUAAUGUAUGUAGUCUUAAACAUCCUAGUCUUCUUCACAUUUAUCCUCAUGAGAAGGUAGACACUUUGAGCAAGAAGAAAGACGAAUUCAAGUCAGCGGUUGCUAGUGCUAUGGUCUCUCUCCAAACUAGUGGUCUUACUGGGGCUGGUAAUGACAACUGUGCGUUACCUAUCGUUCCAGUGUGUGUUAAAUCAAAAAAGGGAAAUGGCGUGGUGAUGACGUAUGCUUUUCUCGAUUCUGGGAGUUCCGCUUCUUUUUGUACAGAAAGUUUGAUGAACAAGCUCAACCUCCCUGGAAAGAGAGUUAAUAUUCUUCUCAGAACUAUGAGUCAAGAUAAAUCAGUUGGUAGUUACGUUCUGAAAGACCUGGAGGUUUCUGGCUUGAGUCAAGAAUAUUACUGUGCAUUGCCUGAAGUGUAUACACAGAAGAUCAUGCCCGUGACCACAGUAAACAUCGCCUCACAGAAAGAUCUUGAGUGUUGGCCUUAUUUGAGUCAUAUCUGUUUACCUAUGAUUAACGCUGGCAUUGAGCUUUUGAUUGGAGCUAAUGUUCCAGAAGCAUUGGAGCCUUGGGAGGUCAUACGUAGUCAAAAUAAUGGCCCAUAUGCUGUAAGGACCAUGUUUGGAUGGACCGUUAAUGGACCACUUAAAGGAGUAGGUAUAAAUGGAGACGAUGCUGCCAACCAACUUCCUGUGACUGUGAAUAGGAUUGCAGUAAUGAAAUUGGAAGAGUUGUGGAAGCAGCAAUUUAAGGCCGAUUUUCCAGAGACUGCUCAUGAAGAAAUGUUAGGAACAUCUAAAGAAGAGCAGCAGUUUAUGAAUUUUGUGUCCAAUUCCGCAAGACUGAUUAAUGGUCAUUAUUACAUCGGUCUACCAUUCAGAAAUGCUGAAGUAGCCAUGCCUAUGAACAGGAGAAUUGCAGAACAACGUGCUUUAACUCUUCAAAAAAGGUUUAAAGUGAAUUCUUCCUUUCAUGCAGAUUACACUGUCUUUAUGGAGGAUGUGAUCCGUAAGGGUUAUGCAGAAAGGGUACCUGCGAUUG
Long non-coding RNA from Cyprinus carpio (common carp), 1247 nucleotides. The record is from Ensembl. Lineage: Eukaryota; Metazoa; Chordata; Actinopteri; Cypriniformes; Cyprinidae.